RNAcentral lists this ribosomal RNA (305 nucleotides) under uncultured bacterium. RNAcentral describes it as "bacterial SSU rRNA". It matches the Rfam family "Bacterial small subunit ribosomal RNA", at positions 338 to 660 of the family's 1533-position model. The record is from RNAcentral.
CCUACGGGAGGCAGCAGUGGGGGAUAUUGCACAAUGGGGGAAACCCUGAUGCAGCGACGCCGCGUGAGUGAAGAAGUAUUUCGGUAUGUAAAGCUCUAUCAGCAGGGAAGAAGAUGACAGUACCUGAGUAAGAAGCCCCGGCUAACUACGUGCCAGCAGCCGCGGUAAUACGUAGGGGGCAAGCGUUAUCCGGAAUUAUUGGGUGUAAAGGGUGCGUAGACGGGAUAACAAGUUAGUUGUGAAACCCCUCGGCUCAACUGAGGAACUGCAACUAAAACUAUUAUUCUUGAGUGCAGGAGAGGAAA